Non-coding RNA from Ictidomys tridecemlineatus (thirteen-lined ground squirrel), 631 nucleotides. The record is from RefSeq and is a predicted model, not a curated record. Lineage: Eukaryota; Metazoa; Chordata; Mammalia; Rodentia; Sciuridae.
GAAGAGGUGGUCCCUGUGUCAUCCUGGCAGGGCCUAGACCAGGGAGGGCUCAUGGUGCUUAAAGAAAGCAUUUGAGGCUCCCAGGGCCCGGGCAGGCUGAUCACCUCUCUGUCACGCUUCUCUGUCUUUGGUGAGCCUCGGGUGUCUGGAGGGCUUGUGGAACACAGGUUCCUGGGCUCCUCCCCCUCCGAUUGAGACUCAGAAGGUCUGGGGUGGAUCCUGAGAACCUGCAUUACUGACAAGCUGGUGAGGAUGCUGGAGGGUGUGCAGGGCCACCCUGUGAGUGGCACCCGACUAGAAGCAGUGGCCUCUGGGAGACAGCAGCUCUGCCUGCCCUUCAUCUGGGGGCUGCCCUGCAUGCCCCAUCAGGAUUGCCUCACGCAGAGGAGGUGGGAAGCUCUGCAGACGGUGUGGAGUGUUUGGGCUUUGCUUUGAGCACAGCAAGAGGGCUUGCAAAGACCUGAAGCAAGAGGACAAGCCACGCCAGGGCCAAAGCCGAGGCAUCGGAACAGGCUGCUCUGGCCGCCAACCAGGAGUCGAACAUUGCCCGCACUCUGGCCAGGGAGCUGGCUCCGGACUUCUACCAGCCAGGUCCGGAAUAUCAGAAGCGCCGGCUGCUGCAGGAGAUCCU